UACAGAGGGGGCAAGCGUUAUUCGGAAUUAUUGGGCGUAAAGGGCGCGUAGGCGGCUUUGCAAGUGGCGGGUGAAAUCCCUCGGCUUAACCGAGGAACUGCCUGCCAGACUGUGAGGCUUGAGACCGGGAGAGGUGAGUGGAAUUCCCAGUGUAGCGGUGAAAUGCGUAGAUAUUGGGAGGAACACCAGUGGCGAAGGCGGCUCACUGGACCGGAACUGACGCUGAGGUGCGAAAGCGUGGGGAGCAAACAGG
Molecule: ribosomal RNA, 253 nt
Filed under: uncultured bacterium
Lineage: Bacteria
Description: partial 16S ribosomal RNA
Rfam family: Bacterial small subunit ribosomal RNA
Source: RNAcentral